GUGCCAGCCGCCGCGGUAAUACGUAGGGGGCGAGCGUUGUCCGGAUUUACUGGGUGUAAAGGGCGCGUAGGCGGGGAUGCAAGUCAGAUGUGAAAUCCAUGGGCUCAACCCAUGAACUGCAUUUGAAACUGUGUCUCUUGAGUGUCGGAGAGGUAGAUGGAAUUCCUAGUGUAGCGGUGAAAUGCGUAGAGAUGCGGAGGAACACCAAUGGCGAAGGCAAUCCCCUGGACCUGUACUGACGCUCAUGCACGAAAGCGUGGGGAGCAAACAGGAUUAGAUACCCUGGUAGUCCACGCCCUAAACGAUGUCAACUGGUUGUUGGACGGCUUGCUGUUCAGUAACGAAGCUAACGCGUGAAGUUGACCGCCUGGGGAGUACGGCCGCAAGGCUAAA
This 393-nucleotide ribosomal RNA is filed under the name uncultured bacterium. RNAcentral's name for it is "partial 16S ribosomal RNA". It matches the Rfam family "Bacterial small subunit ribosomal RNA", at positions 505 to 898 of the family's 1533-position model. The record is from RNAcentral.